CCCAACUAUCCCUAUUAAUCAUUACAUCGAUCCUAGAAACCAACAAAAUAGAAUGCGAUGUCCUAUUUCAUUAUUCCAUGCUAAUGUAUUCAAGCGUGAGCCUGCUUUAAACACUCUAAUUUUUUCAAGGUAACAGUCCUAAUUCCCCAAAACAUCAAAUGAAUGACAUUAUGGUUCAUUAGAAGGUGAGAACCAAUAAAGCCAGUUCAUACCAAGGGCACGACCAACUCAUUGAUCCCGAAGUUCAACUACGAGCUUUUUAACUGCAACAACUUUAAUAUACGCUAUUGGAGCUGGAAUUACCGCGGCUGCUGGCACCAGACUUGCCCUCCAA
This 334-nucleotide unclassified non-coding RNA is filed under the name uncultured Glomeraceae. RNAcentral's name for it is "sequence contains 18S rRNA gene". The record is from RNAcentral. Lineage: Eukaryota; Fungi; Glomeromycota; Glomeromycetes; Glomerales; Glomeraceae.